Molecule: ribosomal RNA, 490 nt
Filed under: uncultured bacterium
Lineage: Bacteria
Description: partial 16S ribosomal RNA
Rfam family: Bacterial small subunit ribosomal RNA
Source: RNAcentral
AUUGAACGCUGGCGGCAGGCCUAACACAUGCAAGUCGAACGGUAACAGGAAACAGCUUGCUGUUUCGCUGACGAGUGGCGGACGGGUGAGUAAUGUCUGGGAAACUGCCUGAUGGAGGGGGAUAACUACUGGAAACGGUAGCUAAUACCGCAUAACGUCGCAAGACCAAAGAGGGGGACCCUCGGGCCUCUUGCCAUCGGAUGUGCCCAGAUGGGAUUAGCUUGUUGGUGGGGUAACGGCUCACCAAGGCGACGAUCCCUAGCUGGUCUGAGAGGAUGACCAGCCACAAUGGAACUGAGACACGGUCCAGACUCCUACGGGAGGCAGCAGUGGGGAAUAUUGCACAAUGGGCGCAAGCCUGAUGCAGCCAUGCCGCGUGUAUGAAGAAGGCCUUCGGGUUGUAAAGUACUUUCAGCGGAGAGGAAGGGAGUAAAGUUAAUACCUUUGCUCAUUGACGUUACCCGCAGAAGAAGCACCGGCUAACUCCGUG